Molecule: ribosomal RNA, 503 nt
Filed under: uncultured bacterium
Lineage: Bacteria
Description: partial 16S ribosomal RNA
Rfam family: Bacterial small subunit ribosomal RNA
Source: RNAcentral
GAUGAACGCUAGCGGCAGGCCUAACACAUGCAAGUCGAGGGGUAGCAGGAUUAAGCUUGCUUAAUUGCUGACGACCGGCGCACGGGUGCGUAACGCGUAUGCAACCUACCUUAUACUGGGGUAUAGCCCGGAGAAAUUCGGAUUAAUCCCCCAUAGUACUAAUGAAUCGCAUGGCUUAUUAGUUAAAGCAUUGCGGUAUAAGAUGGGCAUGCGUCCUAUUAGCUAGAUGGUGAGGUAACGGCUCACCAUGGCUACGAUAGGUAGGGGGCCUGAGAGGGUGGGCCCCCACACUGGUACUGAAACACGGACCAGACUCCUACGGGAGGCAGCAGUGAGGAAGAUUGGUCAAUGGGCGCAAGCCUGAACCAGCCAUGCCGCGUGCAGGAAGAAUGCCCUAUGGGUUGUAAACUGCGUUUAUUUGGGAAUAAACCUCUUUACGUGUAGAGAGCUGAAGGUACCAAAUGAAUAAGCACCGGCUAACUCCGUGCCAGCCGCCGCAGUAA